Molecule: ribosomal RNA, 253 nt
Filed under: uncultured bacterium
Lineage: Bacteria
Description: partial 16S ribosomal RNA
Rfam family: Bacterial small subunit ribosomal RNA
Source: RNAcentral
UACGGAGGGUGCAAAUGUUGCUCGGAAUUAUUGGGCGUAAAGCGCACGUAGGCGGUCCAGCAAGUCGGGUGUGAAAGCCCUCGGCUUAACCGAGGAAGUGCAUUCGAAACUACUGGACUUGAAUACUGGAGAGGAUCGCGGAAUUCCCGGUGUAGAGGUGAAAUUCGUAGAUAUCGGGAGGAACACCAGUGGCGAAGGCGGCGAUCUGGACAGAUAUUGACGCUGAGGUGCGAAAGCUAGGGGAGCAAACGGG